CCUCUUUCAGCAGGGAAGAAGCGAAAGUGACGGUACCUGCAGAAGAAGCGCCGGCUAACUACGUGCCAGCAGCCGCGGUAAUACGUAGGGCGCGAGCGUUGUCCGGAAUUAUUGGGCGUAAAGAGCUCGUAGGCGGCUUGUCGCGUCGGUUGUGAAAGCCCGGGGCUUAACCCCGGGUCUGCAGUCGAUACGGGCAGGCUAGAGUUCGGUAGGGGAGAUCGGAAUUCCUGGUGUAGCGGUGAAAUGCGCAGAUAUCAGGAGGAACACCGGUGGCGAAGGCGGAUCUCUGGGCCGAUACUGACGCUGAGGAGCGAAAGCGUGGGGAGCGAACAGGAUUAGAUACCCUGGUAGUCCACGCCGUAAACGGUGGGCACUAGGUGUGGGCGACAUUCCACGUCGUCCGUGCCGCAGCUAACGCAUUAAGUGCCCCGCCUGGGGAGUACGGCCGCAAGGCUAAAACUCAAAGGAAUUGACGGGGGCCCGCACAAGCGGCGGAGCAUGUGGCUUAAUUCGACGCAACGCGAAGAACCUUACCAAGGCUUGACAUACACCGGAAAGCAUCAGAGAUGGUGCCCCCCUUGUGGUCGGUGUACAGGUGGUGCAUGGCUGUCGUCAGCUCG
RNAcentral lists this ribosomal RNA (620 nucleotides) under uncultured Streptomyces sp. RNAcentral's name for it is "bacterial SSU rRNA". It matches the Rfam family "Bacterial small subunit ribosomal RNA", at positions 430 to 1062 of the family's 1533-position model. The record is from RNAcentral. Lineage: Bacteria; Bacillati; Actinomycetota; Actinomycetes; Kitasatosporales; Streptomycetaceae.